UCCUCUCUCAACCAAAUGAACAACUCGAUCAAGAUCUGUAAGUGCCUCAAAAACCCUAAUAAUUUAUUUUCAUUUUCUGUAUCAAUACUUCGUUCUUUAUGUAAUACUUUGAUUCGGAAUAGGAUCAUCGAAGGAGGAGAUUUGGAACCCCUUUCUCAACAAAACCCUUCUUUUCCUUUUUCCUAUCAAGGUUAGAUUUUUUUUCAAUUUCAAAACCACAUCAGAUGCAGAUUCUAUUUGUUACUCAUAAAACCCUUUAACCCAAAUCUGAUUAUUUCAAUUCGAUGAACAAGGUUUCCUCCUAUAUAACUAAUUGAGAAAGUGAAGCUCAACAUACAGGUUUUGAGAGAUGAAGGUGUCCCUCAAUCAAAUAUUGUCAAGUAUCUAAUCAACCGACCGACAUUGCUGAUGAUAAGCACUAUCAAAUUUAAGGACAUUGCACAAGAGAUUAAGGGUAUAGGUUUUGAUCCUUACAGAACUGCAUUUCUUAGUGCUAUUCUAAAUCUACCUGGGAAACAAAACUGAAGAAAUGGGGUUGGUCAGAAGCUCAAAUUCAAAUUGCAUUUAUGUACGAUUUUGACAGCUAAGGGUCUUAUAAAGGAUAAAUUCGCCUUAUAUACAAUUUUGCAUAUGGGUCUUAGACAAGUUCGUCAUCAAGUAUGGGGUUGGUCAGAAGCUCAAAUUCAAAAUGCAUUUAUGUUACAUCGGUAGUGUAUGAAGCACUCUGAGAAGAAGAUAUCGAUGACAAUGCGUUACCUUGUGAAUCAAAUGCGUAUUGCCAGUGCCAGAUGCCCAAUGAUUUGGCAUUAUAGCUUCAAUGAUUUGGCAUUAUACCAAGGCUUCUGUUCACCGAAUUUCAACAGAUAAGGGUCUGAUAAAGGAUACAAUUUUCUUACAAACAAUUUUGCAUAUGGGUAAGGAGUCUUUCCUAGGCAAGCUUGUCAGCAAGUUUGAGCAAGAAGCUCCUGAACUUUUGAAGGUCAAAGAACUUUCAUGAGAAAUUUUUGCCUGAUGUAGAUGUAACAGCUCAAUUAUACUUUCACAAAAUUUAUCUGGGAAAGGUAAGUCCUUCCCGGACAGGUUCUUGAGACCAUAUGAACAAGAAGCUCCUGAAUUGAUGAAGGUAUUCCAAGAUGAGUUGAAUAUCCGAGAGCUGCUACUGACACGAAGGGUUUGAGGAGUUGAUAACUCAUUACAGGUAUGUACUUUCUCUUUCUUUGUUCAGUUGGUGCCCCUCUUUAACAUUUUUGUUAUAUUAUGCUUGUUUAUGUUUGUUUUGUUGGUUCCGAAAUGAAAAUUGUUUUAUCUUUGAUUUGCAUGAAGAAUUUAUGUCACCAUAGUUAUAUGCUCUAUCAUCACUAAGCUUAUCUGUCUUGAACUACUUUACCAGAUGCCUGAAUUUCUGUUGUGAUUCCCAAGGAAGUCAAUUUUUUAGAGGUUAUGUGAUGGGUUGCCCCUGUAUCAGUCAAAACCUUAUGUGAUGCCCGGUAUAAGAAAAGUGUAGUUUGGUAUGGUAACUAGUAAAAUGUUAGGCAACUGAUCCAUUCCAAAAGGGAACCACCAAUGCAGCAUACUAGAUGGUUUAACAUGUUCCAACACCAUCAUUGAUAACCUUAUCUGUAUGGUCGUGACGCUAGUGACAAAACUCUGUUUGGCCAUUCAGCUUAUGUAGAAUUUGAUCCAUUUAUUUGCAUUCCUUGAAUAGUUCCCAGAUAACUACUCGGUAAUUGAUAAUGAAGAAGCUUAUCGAAUAAUAACUGCAGGGUUGUGUUGGACUUGCUAAGGAUAAAUUCUGAUGCAGGUUUUAGAUUUAUCUCCCCAUUCCACUCUAUGGGCUUUUCCUCUCCCCUUCUUUUUUGUUGCAUAUAAUGAACUGCAGAGUUGCACUGGACUUGCAAAUGAUAGAAUGAGGAAUUCGAUAAAAUUUUGAAUGGUUGUGCAACACUAUGCUCCUGAAACAAAUCAUGUCUUAUAAAAGAGAUUUUUGAUUUUUAGGGUCGUGGAUACAAUAUUGGGUGGUGCCACUGUCAGUCUGAAACUGCGUGGACAAUAAGUAACAAAUAUAAAUGUAUUUAACAACCUAAAAUUAAUCUUCAAUUAUGAUUAUUCACAUUCACAUACAAACUUUGAUUUUCACACUUCAAUAAAGAGUACUGGUGACAGAUGUAUUAACUAAUACAAAAAUUAAAUCUUCACUUUGAAAAGAAAAACAAUUAUAUGGUGAAAAAAGCUGUCCCUUAUCUGUAAGAGCAAAAGAAGAGAACAGCGGGGAAAAUUAAGAUUGGGAAGAUUAUACAGCCUCUGUAUCUCGUUGAACUUCCUUGUUCAGGAGAGCCCAAUGAAGAACCGAAUCGGAAAACACCUCAAAAAACCUAGAGAUGCCAGCUCAACACCACUCAUUUCACUCAAGAAAACAAUCUAAAAAAAUGGUGGAACCAAAUGAGGAAUUCAACAUAGCUCACAUGUAGUGAAUGUUUUUGUUUCCACUGUUGAUGGACCAUGAAGACGAACAAAAGAGAGUAGAUCUGGCUGUUGAUAUUUAGGGUUAGAGAUUGUUUUUCUUUCACCGAGAAAAGAAAAAGAGGACACCACUUUCUUCUUAUAAGGCAUCUGGACGGCUAUGAUGUUUUCAUGAAUACAUAUGGAAAGGUUAUGAAGGGUUGGAUUACCCUGUAAGGAGAUGGCCAAGGGAAAACCCUAGAAGCAGCCACACCUUAGGGCCCAUAUCCAGGCCCAUUCUCUUGCCCGGAUAUAUCCUUUGAAUUUUGCCAAACACUCACCAUCAGAAUUCGUUUCCUCUCUCUCUCCACCAAGUGAACUCGGCCGAGACCUGUAAGUGCGAUUCUAAAACCCUAAUAAUUUAUUUUCAUUUUUCCGUAUCAGUAUUUCGUUCUUUAUACUUUUAUUCGGAAUCGGAUCAUCAAUGGAGGAGAUUUGGAACCCCUUUCUCUACAGAACGCUUCUUUCCUUAUUCCUAUCAAGAUUUGCGGUUCUCCAAUGAACAAGGUUUCCUCCUAUGUAACAAAUUGAGAAAGUGAAGCUCAACAUACAGGUUUUGAGAGAUGAAGGUGUCGCUCAAUCAAAAUAAUGUCAAGUUUCUAAUCAACCAACCGACAUCACUGAUGAUAAGCACUAGUAAAUUUAAGGACAUGUCACAAGAGGUUAUGGGUAUGGGUUUUGGGCAUUACAAAACUGCAUUGCUUAGUGCUAUUCAGGCAAUCACAGCGAGGAAAUGGGGUUGGUCAGAAGCUCAAAUUCAAAAUGCAUUUAUGUUACAUCCGUAGUGUUUGAAGCACUCCGAGAAGAAGAUUACGAUGACAAUGGAUUACCUUGUGAAUCGUAUUGCCAGAUGCCCAAUGAUUUUGCAUUAUCUCUUGGAGAAGACGAUUAUACGGAGGCUUCCUGUUCACCGAAUUUCAACAGCUGAGGGGUCUGAUAAAGGAUAAAAUUUUCUUACAAACAAUUUUGCAUAUGGGUAAGGAGUCUUUCCUAGGCAAGUUUGUCAGCAAGUAUGAGCAAGAAGCUCCUGAACUAUUGAAGGUCAAAGAACUCUCAUAAGAAAUUGUUGGCUGAUGUUGAUGUCACAGCUCAAUUAUACAAAGAUUUCUCUGGGAAAGAUAAGGCCUUUUCAGACAGGUUUUUGAAACCAUUUGAAGAAGAAGCUCCUGAGUUGAAGGUAUUCCAAGAUCAGUUGAAUAUCCAAGAGCUGCUUCUGACAUGAAGGGUUUGAGGAGUCGAGAACUCAUUAUAGAUACAUAUGUGGUUUUUCUUUUUUUUUGUUUAGUUGGUGCCUCUCUUCAAUGUUUUACUUGUAUGCUUGUUUAUGUUUCGUUUGUUGGUAUGAAAUGAAAAUUGACACCUUUGAUGUACAUGAAGAAUUUAUGUCAUAAUAGUUGGUGCAUGCUUUAUCAUCACUAAGCUUAUCUAUAUAGGUUUACUUUACGAGAUGUCUGAAUUUCUGUUGUGAAAUCAAAGGAAGUCAAAUUUUGAGAGGGUAUGUGAUGGGUUACCCCUGCAUCAGUAUGAUUGAUUAGGGUGUUCAUUACCAUACUUAGAAUUCAAUUAAGCUCUCUAUAUAUCAUCGUCAAUCACGAAAUUCAACCAAUCAAGUUAGAUCUUUGUAUGAAGUUUAUCAAUUUUUUCUGUACAAAUGAUCUUAUGCUCCUGUAACCUUAUGAUAGACCUAAUCAUAGUCAAAAUGCUGUUGAACCUAGUAAACCGGAACUCUUUAAUUGUAUAAUACCUAUAGAUUUUUGAUGGAAGUGUUGGUGUGAUAUGCUGAAGUCUUCUGGUGUUCUUGUUUUAGACUGGCUUCUCAUUCUUAAUGGCAUUGUUCGUAAAAGGAAUACUGUUAGGCCUUUGUAAAUGCAUUACAUAUAUGCCUAUAAAUCAAAAUGCUGGCAUCAUAAUUAUCCUCACUGUCAAAUAUGCAGCACAUCAUAUCAUGGAACCUCAUGCUUUGCUUGCAAGUACUUAUACGCUGUGGAGAAAGGAAAUUCAUCCAACUCUGGCUGCUCGAAAUCAGAAGUUACUGAAGAAGCAAUGUUGUGCAACCCAGGUUAGAAUGAAGGAGAUUGGUAUUCCAAUUGCUUCAAAUGCCAUCUUUGCAAUCAGAAAAUAGAGACUCUGGAUUAUAUUCUUUGGUUCUGUGAGUUCUCAAAGUAAUGUGGAAAAUAGAGAAUUUGGAUUAUAUUCUUUGGUUCAGAAAAUGUUUCAUGAUCUGUGGGUAACAACCUACCUAGUGGUUAGAGCUGAACUAUGUAAACUGCACAAUGCCAUUGCUUUUGAUGGUGCAAAAGUGCCUUAAUAUCAAAAUCAAGGUGGAUUUGAUGAUUCA
This is a long non-coding RNA of Papaver somniferum (opium poppy), 4837 nucleotides long. RefSeq lists it as uncharacterized. NCBI's taxonomy places the organism in Eukaryota, Viridiplantae, Streptophyta, Magnoliopsida, Ranunculales, Papaveraceae. The record is from RefSeq and is a predicted model, not a curated record. The transcript is spliced from 6 exons.